RNAcentral lists this ribosomal RNA (468 nucleotides) under uncultured bacterium. RNAcentral describes it as "partial 16S ribosomal RNA". It matches the Rfam family "Bacterial small subunit ribosomal RNA", at positions 28 to 507 of the family's 1533-position model. The record is from RNAcentral.
GACGAACGCUGGCGGCGUGCUUAACACAUGCAAGUCGAACGGAAAGGCCCUGCUUUUGUGGGGUGCUCGAGUGGCGAACGGGUGAGUAACACGUGAGUAACCUGCCCUUGACUUUGGGAUAACUUCAGGAAACUGGGGCUAAUACCGGAUAGGAGCUCCUGCUGCAUGGUGGGGGGUGGAAAGUUUCGGCGGUUGGGGAUGGACGCGCGGCUUAUCAGCUUGUUGGUGGGGUAGUGGCUUACCAAGGCUUUGGCGGGUAGCCGGCCUGAGAGGGUGACCGGCCACCUUGGGACUGAGAUACGGCCCAGACUCCUACGGGAGGCAGCAGUGGGGAAUAUUGCCCAAUGGGCGGAAGCCUGAUGCAGCAACGCCGCGUGCGGGAUGCCGGCCUUCGGGUUGUAAACCGCUUUCGCCUGUGACGAAGCGUGAGUGACGGUAAUGGGUAAAGAAGCACCGGCUAACUACGUG